CAGUCGCCGCGGUAAUACGAAGGGUGCAAGCGUUAAUCGGAAUUACUGGGCGUAAAGCGUGCGUAGGCGGUGAGUUAAGUCUGCUGUGAAAUCCCCGGGCUCAACCUGGGAAUGGCAGUGGAUACUGGCUCGCUAGAGUGUGUCAGAGGAUGGUGGAAUUCCCGGUGUAGCGGUGAAAUGCGUAGAGAUCGGGAGGAACAUCAGUGGCGAAGGCGGCCAUCUGGGACAACACUGACGCUGAGGCACGAAAGCGUGGGGAGCAAACAGGAUUAGAUCCCCCGUAGUCCCUGUCUCUUAUACA
RNAcentral lists this ribosomal RNA (301 nucleotides) under uncultured bacterium. RNAcentral describes it as "partial 16S ribosomal RNA". It matches the Rfam family "Bacterial small subunit ribosomal RNA", at positions 509 to 808 of the family's 1533-position model. The record is from RNAcentral.